RNAcentral lists this non-coding RNA (21 nucleotides) under Arabidopsis thaliana (thale cress). RNAcentral also lists the same sequence under 3 other names. The record is from RNAcentral. Lineage: Eukaryota; Viridiplantae; Streptophyta; Magnoliopsida; Brassicales; Brassicaceae.
UUCGGACCAGGCUUCAUUCCC